CGCCUCGCCCGCUCCCUUUCCGCGCCACCAGAGCACCCCAGCAGCUUCGCCAAGAGCUCAGCGAUCUUUUGCGCCUCUUACUGCACGCUCUACCCUGCCAUAGCACCUAUUUCAUCCAUCCUUUUCAACUUCGGCCGAAAGCGCCGCCACGGAGCCUCCACCGUGGCCAGACCUUUCCAGAGCAUCACAUGCCCCCUCGUGUGUUGCUCUUGCUUCCUUGUGGCUUGGUGAUGCUCAUCAACCCAUUGUUUGUAACCAGCACCGACGAAGCCGCCAGAGAAUCAUCUCGCCGCCGGCACGACCACUACUGGUUCGCCCGUGCACGUGGCCAGCGAGCGACGGACUGUCUCUAGCCAUUCCAGGGCCAGCUACAGCUCGCGCUAGGGACCUCGUGCAACAAUUUGAUGUUUCCCAGGGGUCUAAUUGCAGAGACUGUGACUCAGACUACGCUCCGGAGGAAUCUAAUCCUCAGUGGGUUGCUU
Molecule: long non-coding RNA, 482 nt
Organism: Sorghum bicolor (sorghum)
Lineage: Eukaryota; Viridiplantae; Streptophyta; Magnoliopsida; Poales; Poaceae
Exons: 3
Source: RefSeq, a predicted model, not a curated record